GAGUUUGAUCCUGGCUCAGGAUGAACGCUAGCGGGAGGCUUAACACAUGCAAGUCGAGGGGCAGCACGAUGUAGCAAUACGUUGGUGGCGACCGGCGCACGGGUGAGUAACGCGUAUGCAACCUACCCUGUACUGGAAGAUAACCCGGAGAAAUUCGGACUAAUAUUCCAUAAAGAUAUAGAGAGGCAUCUUUUUAUAUUUAAAGUUCUGGCGGUACGGGAUGGGCAUGCGUAACAUUAGCUAGUUGGAAGGGUAACGGCCUACCAAGGCAACGAUGUUUAGGGGUCCUGAGAGGGUGAUCCCCCACACUGGUACUGAGACACGGACCAGACUCCUACGGGAGGCAGCAGUGAGGAAUAUUGGUCAAUGGGCGCAAGCCUGAACCAGCCAUCCCGCGUGAAGGAAGAAGGCGCUAUGCGUUGUAAACUUCUUUUCCAGGGAAAUAAAAUUUUGUACGUGUACGAAAUUGAAGGUACCCUGGGAAUAAGCAUCGGCUAACUCCGUGCCAGCAGCCGCGGUAAUACGGAGGAUGCAAGCGUUAUCCGGAUUUAUUGGGUUUAAAGGGUGCGUAGGCGGGAAGAUAAGUCAGUGGUGAAAUCCUGCAGCUUAACUGUAGAAUUGCCGUUGAUACUGUUUUUCUUGAGUGUGGUCAAGGAAGGCGGAAUGUGUAAUGUAGCGGUGAAAUGCUUAGAUAUUACACAGAACACCGAUUGCGAAGGCAGCUUUCUGGGCCGUUACUGACGCUGAGGCACGAAAGCGUGGGGAUCAAACAGGAUUAGAUACCCUGGUAGUCCACGCCGUAAACGAUGAUCACUAGCUGUUGGCGAUAUACUGUCAGCGGCAAAGCAAAAGCAUUAAGUGAUCCACCUGGGGAGUACGGCCGCAAGGCUGAAACUCAAAGGAAUUGACGGGGGCCCGCACAAGCGGAGGA
Molecule: ribosomal RNA, 931 nt
Filed under: uncultured Bacteroidota bacterium
Lineage: Bacteria; Pseudomonadati; Bacteroidota
Description: bacterial SSU rRNA
Rfam family: Bacterial small subunit ribosomal RNA
Source: RNAcentral